GUCAAGUGACUAAGCGCAUACGGUGGAUGCCUUGGCAGUCAGAGGCGAUGAAGGACGUUGUAGCCUGCGAUAAGCUUCGGGGAGUCGGCAAACAGACUUUGAUCCGGAGAUGUCUGAAUGGGGGAACCCAGC
RNAcentral lists this ribosomal RNA (132 nucleotides) under Schmidingerella taraikaensis. Its description in RNAcentral is "partial Bacterial large subunit ribosomal RNA". It matches the Rfam family "Bacterial large subunit ribosomal RNA", at positions 1 to 132 of the family's 2925-position model. Lineage: Eukaryota; Ciliophora; Spirotrichea; Tintinnida; Rhabdonellidae. The record is from RNAcentral.